ACAGCAGUAGCCGCGGGAAUACAGAGGGUGCGAGCGUUAAUCGGAUUUACUGGGCGUAAAGCGUGCGUAGGCGGCUUCUUAAGUCGGAUGUGAAAUCCCUGAGCUUAACUUAGGAAUUGCAUUCGAUACUGGGAAGCUAGAGUAUGGGAGAGGAUGGUAGAAUUCCAGGUGUAGCGGUGAAAUGCGUAGAGAUCUGGAGGAAUACCGAUGGCGAAGGCAGCCAUCUGGCCUAAUACUGACGCUGAGGUACGAAAGCAUGGGGAGCAAACAGGAUUAGAGACCCCGGUAGUCCCUGUCUCUUAUAC
This 305-nucleotide ribosomal RNA is filed under the name uncultured bacterium. RNAcentral describes it as "partial 16S ribosomal RNA". It matches the Rfam family "Bacterial small subunit ribosomal RNA", at positions 508 to 807 of the family's 1533-position model. The record is from RNAcentral.